AAUGGCCAGUACAAACGGUUGCCAAGUCGCGAGACGGAGCUAAUCUGAGAAAGCUGGUCGUAGUCCGGAUUGGAGUCUGCAACUCGACUCCAUGAAG
RNAcentral lists this non-coding RNA (97 nucleotides) under Bermanella marisrubri. Its description in RNAcentral is "Bacterial small subunit ribosomal RNA". It matches the Rfam family "Bacterial small subunit ribosomal RNA", at positions 1229 to 1325 of the family's 1533-position model. The record is from Rfam by way of RNAcentral. Lineage: Bacteria; Pseudomonadati; Pseudomonadota; Gammaproteobacteria; Oceanospirillales; Oceanospirillaceae.